AUUGAACGCUGGCGGCAUGCCUUACACAUGCAAGUCGAACGGCAGCACGGGUGCUUGCACCUGGUGGCGAGUGGCGAACGGGUGAGUAAUACAUCGGAACAUGUCCUGUAGUGGGGGAUAGCCCGGCGAAAGCCGGAUUAAUACCGCAUACGAUCUACGGAUGAAAGCGGGGGACCUUCGGGCCUCGCGCUAUAGGGUUGGCCGAUGGCUGAUUAGCUAGUUGGUGGGGUAAAGGCCUACCAAGGCGACGAUCAGUAGCUGGUCUGAGAGGACGACCAGCCACGCUGGGACUGAGACACGGCCCAGACUCCUACGGGAGGCAGCAGUGGGGAAUUUUGGACAAUGGGCGAAAGCCUGAUCCAGCAAUGCCGCGUGUGUGAAGAAGGCCUUCGGGUUGUAAAGCACUUUUGUCCGGAAAGAAAUCCUUGGCCCUAAUACGGUCGGGGGAUGACGGUACCGGAAGAAUAAGCACCGGCUAACUACGUG
This 486-nucleotide ribosomal RNA is filed under the name uncultured bacterium. RNAcentral describes it as "partial 16S ribosomal RNA". It matches the Rfam family "Bacterial small subunit ribosomal RNA", at positions 30 to 507 of the family's 1533-position model. The record is from RNAcentral.